RNAcentral lists this ribosomal RNA (119 nucleotides) under Pteropus alecto (black flying fox). Lineage: Eukaryota; Metazoa; Chordata; Mammalia; Chiroptera; Pteropodidae. The record is from RNAcentral.
GUCUAUGGCCAUGCCACCUUGAACAAGCCAGAUCCAGUCUAAUCUCAGAAGCUAAGUAGAGUUGGGCCUGGUUAGUACUUGGAUGGGAGACCACCUAGGAAGACCAGGUGCUAUAGGCA